AACGAACGCUGGCGGCAUGCCUAACACAUGCAAGUCGAACGAGACCUUCGGGUCUAGGGGCGCACGGGUGCGUGAGGCGUGGGAACCUGCCCUUAGGUUCCGAAUAACUCCCCGAAAGGGGAGCUAAGACAGGAGGAUGUCUUCGGGGCAAAGAUUUAUCGCCGUUGGCUGGGCGCGGGUUCGUUUAGCUGGUUGGUAGGGUAAAAGCCUACCAAGGCCAGGAUCCAUGGCUGGUCGGAGAGGAGGCCCCGGCACGCUUGGACUGAGACCCGGCCCAGUCGCCUACGCGAGGCAGCAGUGGGGAGUAUUGGGCGCUGGGCGAAAGUCUGAUCCAGCCAUGCCGCGUGAGUCGUCCAGGCCUUAGGAUUGCACAGCUCUUUUUGCCGGGAUGAUAAUGACAGUACCGGGAGAAUAAGCACCGGCUAACUCCGUG
This 433-nucleotide ribosomal RNA is filed under the name uncultured bacterium. RNAcentral describes it as "partial 16S ribosomal RNA". It matches the Rfam family "Bacterial small subunit ribosomal RNA", at positions 28 to 507 of the family's 1533-position model. The record is from RNAcentral.